RNAcentral lists this long non-coding RNA (252 nucleotides) under Elaeis guineensis (African oil palm). Its description in RNAcentral is "long non-coding RNA (EGUI_LNC073145)". Lineage: Eukaryota; Viridiplantae; Streptophyta; Magnoliopsida; Arecales; Arecaceae. The record is from RNAcentral.
UUGCCAGUGGAUGGGAGAAUCGCGCAGUAUCCGUUGCAGGAGGUGGAGCAGGAUCGUGGCCGUUUAUCGUGGCUGGUCAGGUAGUAAUGGAGCCGCGUGGGAUCCGUCAUAGGGAGUGGAGCAGUGCUGCGAUCGUUACUGCGGCCUGUCAGGGAGUGGUGGAGCUGCACGGAAUCCACCACAGAAAAUGUAGCAGAAUCGUGGUCGUGAUUGUGGCCUGGGAGUGCUGAUCUGUCGGCUGAAGUUCGGCAN